AGAGUUUGAUCAGUGGCUCAGGACGAACGCUGGCGGCGUGCUUAACACAUGCAAGUCGAACGGUGAAGGGAAGCUUGCUUCCCGGAUCAGUGGCGAACGGGUGAGUAACACGUGGGCAAUCUGCCCCAGACUUUGGGAUAACUACUCGAAAGAGUAGCUAAUACCGAAUAUUCAGCCUUGCAGGCAUCUGCGAGGCUGGAAAGUUUCUCGGUCUGGGAUGAGCCCGCGGCCUAUCAGCUAGUUGGUGAGGUAAUGGGCUCACCAAGGCGACGACGGGUAGCCGGCCUGAGAGGGCGACCGGCCACACUGGGACUGAGACACGGCCCAGACUCCUACGGGAGGCAGCCGUGGGGAAUAUUGCGCAAUGGGCGAAAGCCUGACGCAGCAACGCCGCGUGCGGGAUGAAGGCCUUCGGGUUGUAAACCGCUUUCAGCAGGGAAGAAGCGAAAGUGACGGUACCUGCAGAAGAAGCACCGGCUAACUACGUG
This 488-nucleotide ribosomal RNA is filed under the name uncultured bacterium. RNAcentral's name for it is "bacterial SSU rRNA". It matches the Rfam family "Bacterial small subunit ribosomal RNA", at positions 8 to 507 of the family's 1533-position model. The record is from RNAcentral.